AGCAGCCGCGGUAAUUCCAGCUCCAAUAGCGUAUAUUAAAGUUGUUGCAGUUAAAAAGCUCGUAGUUGAAUUUCGGGAUCAAUAUGUUGGUCGUGCCUCGGUACGUACUAGCAUAUUGGUUUCUCCUUUCUGAAGAACCAUGAUGUCAUUUAUUUAGUGUCGUGGGGAAUCAGGACUGUUACUUUGAAAAAAUUAGAGUGUUUAAAGCAGGCUCACGCUUGAAUACAUUAGCAUGGAAUAAUGAAAUAGGACGUUUGAUUCUAUUUUGUUGGUUUCUAGGAUCGACGUAAUGAUUAAUAGGGAUAGUUGGGGGCAUUAGUAUUCAAUUGUCAGAGGUGAAAUUCUUGGAUUUAUUGAAGACUAACUACUGCGAAAGCAUUUGCCAAGGAUGUUUUCAUUAAUCAAGAACGAAAGUUAGGGGUAUCGAAGACGAUCAGGAUACCGUCGUAGUCUUAACCAUAAACUAUGCCGACUAGGGAUCGGAUGAUGUU
This 491-nucleotide unclassified non-coding RNA is filed under the name uncultured Glomus. RNAcentral's name for it is "SSU rRNA". It matches the Rfam family "Eukaryotic small subunit ribosomal RNA", at positions 569 to 1064 of the family's 1831-position model. Lineage: Eukaryota; Fungi; Glomeromycota; Glomeromycetes; Glomerales; Glomeraceae. The record is from RNAcentral.